Molecule: ribosomal RNA, 572 nt
Filed under: uncultured bacterium
Lineage: Bacteria
Description: partial 16S ribosomal RNA
Rfam family: Bacterial small subunit ribosomal RNA
Source: RNAcentral
UGGGGAAUUUUGGACAAUGGGCGAAAGCCUGAUCCAGCAAUGCCGCGUGUGUGAAGAAGGCCUUCGGGUUGUAAAGCACUUUUGUCCGGAAAGAAAUCCUUGGCUCUAAUACAGUCGGGGGAUGACGGUACCGGAAGAAUAAGCACCGGCUAACUACGUGCCAGCAGCCGCGGUAAUACGUAGGGUGCAAGCGUUAAUCGGAAUUACUGGGCGUAAAGCGUGCGCAGGCGGUUUGCUAAGACCGAUGUGAAAUCCCCGGGCUCAACCUGGGAACUGCAUUGGUAACUGGCAGGCUAGAGUAUGGCAGAGGGGGGUAGAAUUCCACGUGUAGCAGUGAAAUGCGUAGAGAUGUGGAGGAAUACCGAUGGCGAAGGCAGCCCCCUGGGCCAAUACUGACGCUCAUGCACGAAAGCGUGGGGAGCAAACAGGAUUAGAUACCCUGGUAGUCCACGCCCUAAACGAUGUCAACUAGUUGUUGGGGGAUUCAUUUCCUUAGUAACGUAGCUAACGCGUGAAGUUGACCGCCUGGGGAGUACGUCGCAAGAUUAAAACUCAAAUGAAUUGACGGGGUC